ACACAGUCAAUUACAACUUAAAUAACAUCAGAAUGAUCAACACCAACUCUCCAACAAAAAUUUUCAGCAAAAUGAGAACACUGACAACGCUGGCUUCAGCAAUGUGAGGCGAAAGUGAGACAAGAAGACAACUCCGUUGGAACAACUCAAAUGCUCGGAGGUAGAAGAUCUCAUGCAUUGUUUUCCGAGUGCUUUUCUCGCCACAGGCAUGAAGAUGUCACUCCCUCCGGUUCGGCUACCUGCGGAGCAAUCAUCAACGGUCUCAGACGCCGAAGAGAGUAUGAUGACCCCACCAGAGUACUUACCCACUACGUUACGCCUCCAUCAUCAUUAUUUCGCGUCACGCAACACGAGAACUAGUCAAAAUAGAUAGAUCUGAAAUAUACAUGGCAGCAUAAGAGUACAGAAACGCAUAAUUAGGCUUGCAGCUUCUGCCACCCUCCUUGCUGUAUUGUAUUCUAUACCAAUCACCCAAUCCCCUUCAAUCCAAUCCAAUCCAAUCCGACCGUUUGCUUAACAAAAAAAAAAAAAAAAACA
RNAcentral lists this long non-coding RNA (537 nucleotides) under Elaeis guineensis (African oil palm). Its description in RNAcentral is "long non-coding RNA (EGUI_LNC006838)". The record is from RNAcentral. Lineage: Eukaryota; Viridiplantae; Streptophyta; Magnoliopsida; Arecales; Arecaceae.